Molecule: non-coding RNA, 193 nt
Organism: Ancylostoma duodenale
Lineage: Eukaryota; Metazoa; Nematoda; Chromadorea; Rhabditida; Ancylostomatidae
Source: Rfam
AUCGCUUCUCUGCCUUUUGGCUAGGAUCAAAGUUUAGUUCCUGUUCUUAUUGAAUCAACACUCGAUAGAGAUUCGAAUGAAUCUCGUUAAGAUUAUUUGAUUUUUUUUUGACCGGAUGGGGUGGCGGCCUUGCUCGCACAUCAUCCGCGGGUCGGCCCAGCGUUGCACUGCUGCUGGUCUUGGCCCACCUCCU